Molecule: long non-coding RNA, 3687 nt
Organism: Bacillus rossius redtenbacheri
Lineage: Eukaryota; Metazoa; Arthropoda; Insecta; Phasmatodea; Bacillidae
Exons: 2
Source: RefSeq, a predicted model, not a curated record
AUCAAAUUUAGGGACUUUACUGACGGGACUCUGGGCUGGCUGCUCUGUUCACUCGUCAGCGCAAGUGGCGUGACCAUGUAAUUGGGGCACGGGGCCGGCGCGGCGCGCUGCGGGCUUGCAGAAUUUUGUUUGUUUGUUUGGCCGCACGCUGGCGCAGCCACGGGCCGCGGUUACUGGGGCGCGCUGUCGUAACAAGCCGCGCGGUGUGGCCUGCACAUUGGGGUAGAGGGGGGGUAGUCUUCCCAGAUGUUCUAGUUAGUUGUUUAGUAAAUUUGACUUCAAUAACGAGCUUUUGUUAUGGUAGGCGCGGCAGGGCGCGCGAAUUUAAGCGCAAGUGAUUGGUGACUCGGGGCUCACUCAGGCGGAGGCUAUGCGUCUCACCUGUGGUCACGAGUUGUUAGUUCGUUCGUGAUGUAGGAAUUCAAGCUUUCGGGCGGAAGCUAUGGCCGACGCCAGAGGCCACGAGUCGUUUAAUUUAAGUUAGGUCAUAAUGUAGUCAUCUUCAAGCUUUCGGGCGGAGGCUAUGGCCCUCGUCAGGGGUCACGCGUCAUAGUUUUUAAAAUGUAAUGUUCGUUCGGGAUUUCAAGGGCAGGAGAGGCCCCUACGUUAUUUUUUUAAAGUAAUCGAUCAAGAAAGGCUUUUCGGAAAAUGUGAGUAUGGACUUAUCUUUGUUUUAAUUUUAAGUAUUAAUUAUGAUUUGAGGUAUUCGGAAGGACUAGGGAAGUGUUUAGUGAAGUUCUCUCAUUCUCUCUCUUGUAAGGUCGUUCAAUCGUUAAGGAAGUAAAGAGAUUAUUGUUUUAAAUUGUAAUCCUGCUAUUUAAAUGUUCUUUAAAAUGAUGUUGAGUAUUUGACUUUAAGAAUAAAAUAAUUUUAAUUAAGUAUUAUGUUAUUUUGCAAAAUCUCCUUAGUUCAGCUCUCACCAGACAUCCUGUACGGGAUGACGAACCUAUGAUCCUAGGUACAGUAAAGUAUUUUAUGAAGUUAAGACUAGUUGAUGCCAAGCGAGUUGUUUCUAUGUAAAGAGCUACGAUUCUCGCCCCCCCCCCCCCUCUGAAGGUGGAUCGUGACAGAAAUGGUAGAGUUCGCCGGAUAGGUUCUAUUUUUGGAGAGAGAGAGAGGUAGAUUUUUAUGUUUAUUAUUAAGUUAGUUUCAGCUUCUGAUAGCAGGUUAUUAAGAGUUUACUUGAGGAGAGGAUUACGGAAUUUAAUCUAAGUGGAGGAAGUCUUUGAGAUUUUUUUUUGACGUAACAGAUGUUUAUUUGAGGAUACUUGUAAGGAUAAAGUUUAUAGUGAUAAGUUGUUUUAAGUCGUUGAAUUUAUUGUAGAUUUAUAUCGGGGAUUAUUACGUGAGGAGAAUACGUUAUAAGUUAAAUGCUUAUUAGAGAUAAUGCAAGUGGUUUAAUUUAAUUGAAGUUCAUUUUAAGAUUGUAGGUUAAGAGAAUUAUAAUUUAAAAUAAAAAUUUUUUGUCGUAAAUAGGAAUUAUUUUCAAGUGAAGUUUGUUUUGUUGUCGUGCGCGUAGGAGACGAGACGUACGAAUUAAAUCAGUCGAGGGAAGGAUAAACGUUAGAAAGGAAUUAAAGAGAAAACGAGAGUUUAUGUAAAAGAGAGUUAUAGAAUUUAUAGUGAUGUUUUGUUUUAAUUAGAAAAAUGUUGAGAGUUGUUUCAGAACGACACGUCAGUGGACGUGGCAGAAUGAACACGUGACGGGGAGGUGCUGAGACCUAGCGGAGAACGGAGGAACCGCAAGCGAGGGUUGGCGCACCUGAUGGAAUUCGGUGACGUCACGGGCUCAUACGGAGACGUGGACGGCCGUGACCUUGUUUUGAUCAGCUGUACGGUAACUUAGCGAUAAGAAAAUAGACUAUUGGUUAAAUAAAUUUAAAUUUAAGUGUGUUUUAGAAGAAGAGGAACUUUCAGUAUAUUCCUUAAGAUGAGCUGAGCAGCAGUCCAGUUUACAAGAUGACAAGAGUUCGAGAGACAAGAUACAAGAUCACUGAAACAAGAGCCAAGACUGAAGAUUCAAGAGAAGAGAAAGCUGGCAGCCAUGGACUUACAAGUGGAGAUUAAUAAGGUCAUGUAAAGUUUUAUUUUUUUUUAUGGAAGACAGUAACUGGAGUUUUUUUUUUGUUAUAAACAUUAUUUACAGAACUUUUUAGGUUAUAGUAAUGUAAUGGAACUAGUGAGUUGUGGUAGCUGUCAAAAAGAACUAAUACCUUAAGUUUAAUUUUUAAAGUUAAUUUUCUUAAUUUACAGAGGGAUUAGUAGUUUUUUUUAAACCUUAUUUAGGUUGGAAUUUAAAUACAAUAGCUUAUUAUAAAUGUGUACGAACAGUUCAAGUUCACAGUACUGAUAGGUAGGUCAGAUGAUCUUAUUGAUUUUGAUGAUUUGUUGUUUUGAGUUGAUUUUUAAGUGUUGUGAAUUAGACAAUGAAAUAGUUCUGAAAACUUAAAUUAUUUCAAGCUAAGAAAUAGUAAAGUUAAUUGUAACUCAAAGGACACCAGAAUUUAAUUUUUUUUUGAAUUAGUAAUGUUUGAAAAUUUUAUACUUUACAAGAAAGGUUAUAAACAAACAGAUCGGAUGGAACAAGGAUGCAGUAAAUCACAAUUUCAUUUAGAAUUAUUGAUUAGCUUUUGAGGUUAUGAAGUAAAAGUAAUUAUAGUUUAAAAGUUUGAAUAAAAAAAAAUGUUUUUUUUUAUUUGUUUGAAAUAGAAAGUUUAAAAGUUAAUUAGUCAUGAUCUAGGUGGGUGAUGGGGUGGGAAUUGGCCACUCUUUUUCCCUAUAACCUCCCUAACAUGGCCUUCUAUUACAACUAACAGAAAUAAAGAAGAAGAAAAAUGAAGAAUUAUUAGUUAGAAUGUUUCUUUCAUGAAGAUACCUGAUGAACUUUUACUGUUUGGAAGAAUAGAAGCAAGGUUAGUCAGAUAUUUUUACUCAGAAGAAGAAGAAGAUAAAGCAGUUUUAUGACUCGACAAGCCAGAGAUUGGUGUUUCCCCUCUGCGCUUCUAUUGACUACGUUGUUUACUCUCAUGGGAUAGCUGGUUCGGCACCAUGGAGAGAGAUUGGUGGGCAUUGUGGUUGCCCCCAGAAGAAAAGAAGAGUAGAAGAGGUUAUGGGUGGGUCAUGUGAACUGACCUUCAACCCAGUUACUUCGUGGGGACUAUUUGCUGUAUAGAGAAGAUCAAGACUCAAGAGUUAGGGAAAAUCAUUGGAGGUCAUGUUUCCCUUCCUUAAGUUUUUCCUAUCAAAUUAUUUGCCUGAUUAGAUUAUGCUAAGGGUGGGAUACUUUAUGUUAGCAGUUGAAUUAAUUAAUUUUAUUUUUUUGUGUGUUUGUAUCCUUGCCCAUCGAUUGCAGUUUAGUAGUUAGUUUUGUAUUUGUCAGGCGUGAUGGUAAUGCCUGUUGAUGAUGUUUCAGAAUUGUAAUCUGUUCGUGAUGAGGAUGGCACAACUCCGAAGCAGAUGUGGGGAGAAGUUGUGAGCUGCCCUGGAAGCCAGUCCAGUAGCUGUUGGAGUUGAGUGGUGUUUGCUGAUGGCCAGCCCAGGGAGCUACUCUUCUCGACAACACUGACUUCGAGGAGUUGCACCAACCUUCACGAGAUAAGAGUUUAAUUAAUUGAAACACUGUAAGGACACUUAAUUUUUUUUGAAGAACGAAAGAAGUAUGGUAAUAAACGGAAACUGAAAAAAAAA